RNAcentral lists this ribosomal RNA (253 nucleotides) under uncultured bacterium. RNAcentral's name for it is "partial 16S ribosomal RNA". It matches the Rfam family "Bacterial small subunit ribosomal RNA", at positions 524 to 776 of the family's 1533-position model. The record is from RNAcentral.
UACGGGGGGGGCAAGCGUUGUUCGGAAUUACUGGGCGUAAAGGGCUCGUAGGCGGCCAACUAAGUCGGAUGUGAAAUCCCCAGGCUUAACCUGGGAAUUGCAUCCGAUACUGGAUGGCUUGAAUCCGGGAGAGGGAUGCGGAAUUCCAGGUGUAGCGGUGAAAUGCGUAGAUAUCUGGAGGAACACCGGUGGCGAAGGCGGCAUCCUGGACCGGCAUUGACGCUGAGGAGCGGAAGCCAGGGGAGCAAACGGG